This 485-nucleotide long non-coding RNA is filed under the name Capra hircus (goat). RNAcentral's name for it is "lncRNA (ENSCHIG00000001288.1)". The record is from RNAcentral. Lineage: Eukaryota; Metazoa; Chordata; Mammalia; Artiodactyla; Bovidae.
AUAAGAAUAGGGGUGAGGAGGACUGCUAGGACUUCAAAAUGAUCCAUGAAAGAUCUAAUCUAAUUCAUUUUAUUAAAAUAACUCAGCCAGCUGCUAUAGCCUGUAGCAAACUGAAAGUUGUGGCUAGUUUGAGAUCAGUAGUUUAAACGUAUACGUAAAUGAUAGGACUGUUAAGACCAGAGAGGACCUUCAAUUCUUAUUUUACCAGUAAGGAAUUUGAAUCUCAGAGAGGUUAAGUGAUUUUCCCAAGAUCUUAACAACUCUUGGAGUAUGAUCUCAACGAAGGAAAAGGAAACGAAGACAGUAGAUUUAGGAGCCCUUGAAAAUACCUUAGUCAAGACGUUCUCAAACCUUUCCACCAGUCCGCUGGAGCCACCAACAGCUACGGGGGCUUGACCCUUUGGGGAUGUUGAAAGGAAAGGAAUAAUGGAAUUGAUUGAAGAAAGGGAAAAACGCAACUUGAAAAUGGUUGUGGCAGAUUAGAU